AUUUCUGGUUGGAAUGGUGACAACA
This 25-nucleotide non-coding RNA is filed under the name Homo sapiens (human). Lineage: Eukaryota; Metazoa; Chordata; Mammalia; Primates; Hominidae. The record is from RNAcentral. RNAcentral also lists the same sequence under 1 other name.